GACGAACGCUGGCGGCGUGCUUAACACAUGCAAGUCGAACGGAAAGGCCCUGCUUUUGUGGGGUGCUCGAGUGGCGAACGGGUGAGUAACACGUGAGUAACCUGCCCUUGACUUUGGGAUAACUUCAGGAAACUGGGGCUAAUACCGGAUAGGAGCUCCUGCUGCAUGGUGGGGGUUGGAAAGUUUCGGCGGUUGGGGAUGGACUCGCGGCUUAUCAGCUUGUUGGUGGGGUAGUGGCUUACCAAGGCUUUGACGGGUAGCCGGCCUGAGAGGGUGACCGGCCACAUUGGGACUGAGAUACGGCCCAGACUCCUACGGGAGGCAGCAGUGGGGAAUAUUGCAAAAUGGGCGGAAGCCUGAUGCAGCAACGCCGCGUGCGGGAUGACGGCUUUCGGGUUGUAAACCGCUUUCGCCUGUGACGAAGCGUGAGUGACGGUAAUGGGUAAAGAAGCACCGGCUAACUACGUG
Molecule: ribosomal RNA, 468 nt
Filed under: uncultured bacterium
Lineage: Bacteria
Description: partial 16S ribosomal RNA
Rfam family: Bacterial small subunit ribosomal RNA
Source: RNAcentral